UGGGGAAUAUUGGACAAUGGGCGAAAGCCUGAUCCAGCCAUGCCGCGUGAGUGAUGGAGGCCCUAGGGUUGUAAAGCUCUUUUGUGCGGGAAGAUAAUGACGGUACCGCAAGAAUAAGCCCCGGCUAACUUCGUGCCAGCAGCCGCGGUAAUACGAAGGGGGCUAGCGUUGCUCGGAAUCACUGGGCGUAAAGGGUGCGUAGGCGGGUUUCUAAGUCAGAGGUGAAAGCCUGGAGCUCAACUCCAGAACUGCCUUUGAUACUGGAAGUCUUGAGUUCGGGAGAGGUGAGUGGAACUGCGAGUGUAGAGGUGAAAUUCGUAGAUAUUCGCAAGAACACCAGUGGCGAAGGCGGCUCACUGGCCCGAUACUGACGCUGAGGCACGAAAGCGUGGGGAGCAAACA
Molecule: ribosomal RNA, 402 nt
Filed under: uncultured bacterium
Lineage: Bacteria
Description: bacterial SSU rRNA
Rfam family: Bacterial small subunit ribosomal RNA
Source: RNAcentral